This 253-nucleotide ribosomal RNA is filed under the name uncultured bacterium. RNAcentral describes it as "partial 16S ribosomal RNA". It matches the Rfam family "Bacterial small subunit ribosomal RNA", at positions 524 to 776 of the family's 1533-position model. The record is from RNAcentral.
UACGAAGGGGACUAGCGUUGUUCGGAAUUACUGGGCGUAAAGCGCACGUAGGCGGAUUCGUAAGUCAGGGGUGAAAUCCCGGGGCUCAACCUCGGAACUGCCUUUGAUACUGCGGGUCUUGAGUCCGAUAGAGGUGGGUGGAAUUCCUAGUGUAGAGGUGAAAUUCGUAGAUAUUAGGAAGAACACCGGUGGCGAAGGCGGCCCACUGGAUCGGUACUGACGCUGAGGUGCGAAAGCGUGGGGAGCAAACAGG